CCUACGGAGGCUGCAGUGGGGAAUAUUGGGCACUGGGCGCAAGCCUGACCCAGCAACGCCGCGUGAAGGAAGAGGGCUUUCGGGUUGUAAACUUCUUUUCUGAGGGACGAAGAAAGUGACGGUACCUCGGGAAUAAGCAACGGCUAACUACGUGCCAGCAGCCGCGGUAAUACGUAGGUGGCCAGCGUUAUCCGGGUUUAUUGGGUGUAAAGGGCGUGUAGGCGGGAAAGAAAUUCAGAUGUGAAAACUCAGGGCUCAACCCUGAGCCUGCAUUUGGAACUGUUUUGCUUGAGUGCUGGAGAGGCAAUCGGAAGUCCGUGUGUAGCGGUGAAAUGCGUAGAUAUACGGAGGAACACCAGUGGCGAAGGCGGAUUGCUGGACAGUAACUGACGCUGAGGCGCGAAAGCGUGGGGAGCAAACAGGAUUAGAUACCCUGGUAGUC
RNAcentral lists this ribosomal RNA (442 nucleotides) under uncultured bacterium. Its description in RNAcentral is "partial 16S ribosomal RNA". It matches the Rfam family "Bacterial small subunit ribosomal RNA", at positions 338 to 795 of the family's 1533-position model. The record is from RNAcentral.